RNAcentral lists this ribosomal RNA (497 nucleotides) under uncultured bacterium. Its description in RNAcentral is "partial 16S ribosomal RNA". It matches the Rfam family "Bacterial small subunit ribosomal RNA", at positions 28 to 507 of the family's 1533-position model. The record is from RNAcentral.
GAUGAACGCUGGCGGCGUGCCUAAUACAUGCAAGUCGAGCGAACAGACGAGGAGCUUGCUCCUCUGACGUUAGCGGCGGACGGGUGAGUAACACGUGGAUAACCUACCUAUAAGACUGGGAUAACUUCGGGAAACCGGAGCUAAUACCGGAUAAUAUAUUGAACCGCAUGGUUCAAUAGUGAAAGACGGUUUUGCUGUCACUUAUAGCUGGAUCCGCGCCGCAUUGGCUAGUUGGUAAGGUAACGGCUUACCAAGGCAACGAUGCGUAGCCGACCUGAGAGGGUGAUCGGCCACACGGGAACUGAGACACGGUCCAGACUCCUACGGGAGGCAGCAGUAGGGAAUCUUCCGCAAUGGGCGAAAGCCUGACGGAGCAACGCCGCGUGAGUGAUGAAGGUCUUCGGAUCGUAAAACUCUGUUAUUAGGGAAGAACAAAUGUGUAAGUAACUAUGCACGUCUUGACGGUACCUAAUCAGAAAGCCACGGCUAACUACGUG